GACCUCUUGCCCCUUGGCCUGCUGGAGAUCCUACAGCUCCUCAGCCAGGGCUGGAGGCCAAUAUCAGCCCUGGAAGAACAUCAUCAGAGCUGCUAUGAGUGAAUAGUCUUGUUUUUCUACCUCAAACAUGU
This is a non-coding RNA of Cavia porcellus (domestic guinea pig), 131 nucleotides long. NCBI's taxonomy places the organism in Eukaryota, Metazoa, Chordata, Mammalia, Rodentia, Caviidae. The record is from Ensembl.